This 6588-nucleotide long non-coding RNA is filed under the name Olea europaea subsp. europaea. Lineage: Eukaryota; Viridiplantae; Streptophyta; Magnoliopsida; Lamiales; Oleaceae. The record is from RNAcentral.
GCCCGGUCCUGUUAUGAGGCAUAUGAGGCCCAUGCCUCAGGCCCAAUAAUUUAAGGGGCCUCUGAAUUCCAUCCCCACCCCCUUCCUUAAAAAUGGAACAACAGAUUUCUUGUCAUUGGUAUCCACUGUCGUUCGGCUCCUAGUCUCCUGCAAAUCAAAAUCCAAAUUAUUGAACAACCCAAACUGCCAGACGAUGUUACAAGGACAAAAGGCGAUCUUCUCACUUCUUCAAGGGCGGUCCAACUGCCCCUACCUACAUUAAUCAGAUUUGUGUUGUCGGGUUUGUGGUUUUGACAUUCUGUUCAUAGGAAUUAUGGGGUUUUCCUUUUUGGUGAUUUAAUUGAUUCUUAGUUGUGGUUUCUGAAUUAAUGCUUAGUAAUGGUGAUUAUAUGAACAUUAUACUAAAUAAAACUUUGGAAUAAAUAAUUGGCCUUUGUUUCUCAAAAUUUUGUGGAGGAAUAAAUAAUAAAUCAUUAGACUUUGAAUUUAGAUGCGUUUCUUGUUCUCUUGCCUAGUCAGAAUUCCCAAUCCCAUAUGUGUUAUUCAGGACUACAUAAUAGGAAUCUCAAACUAAUUUCAAAGACAAUUCCUCUGCAAAAUUAUACAGGAACCAGGAAUGAUAUAUCUGCCUGUUGAUGUUUCCACAGCCUUGCUACACUUUUCAACUAUUGGAGAAAUCACCAAAUUCAUUUGUUGUUUAAUGUUGUUCACUUUGCAACUAUUUUUUUCCUCCAUAAACUUAAGAUUUUAAUAAUCUUGUUCUUUAACGUUGUUAAAUAUAUCAUAUGAAAAACUAUGAUCCCUUCUCAUUUAGGCUUUUUAGCUUUUUCCCUCUAAAUAAUGAAGGUCAUAUAUAUUCUUUAUUUCUUUUAUUAUUCUGUUCGAUUGGCCCGACAUUUUGGUAUGAGUUCACCUUUGAAAUUUCUUGUCAAAUUCAAGUAGAAGUGUGUCAAUUACCUUUACAUGAAUGUUAUCUGAAGUGUGAACUUGGAUUUUAAUUUUCGAACAAUGACUUUCAUUAAUUUUUAGAAACUUAUUCUCAUUGGUUGUUAUGGUUGCUGUUAAAUUUUAAUUUUAGGAUUGUGAGUUGCGACGGUGGAAUUCUCAAAGUAUUGAAUUAUCAUUUCAUAAUUUUUGCUCAUGCCCUACUUCUUAGGUAAGCAAUGACUUGCCCCUGCUUAUUUAUUAAGAAAUGUUUGAAACAUGGUCGGCUUAUAUUAUUUUGGCCUUUUCGGCUUAUAUGAUUACAUUGCGGUAUUGUACCCCUGUCGGGUUAUAUUGACUUUUAUUAGCUUUCAACUUGUCAAUGUAAAUGAAAUAGAUGAAAAGGAAGAAGAUAAUGUUCAACGUAAAAAUUUGGAAGACUGCCUACUCUGUUAGUAGAUUAUAAUAAAAAAUUUAUAACACAUUUUUUUUUUUUUGUUUAACGUUACAUUUUAAGUUAACAAUUGGUUCCAUGAUACGCUUAUAAAUUUUGCAUGUAUAAUACAAUUUUAGGGACCUAAUUUAUGAAGUUUGCCUCAGGCCUGACCGGCAUUGAGUCGCAGCUCAAUAAGAAGAAAACAUAGGUUAGAGUUUUCAAUUGCACAAAUUUAGGCUUUGAUAUCAUGAAAAGAAUAUAAACCAUAAUGAUACCAAUUUGAUUGAACAAGUAUAGAGAGGAAAACGAUGAUAAAGAACUAAGAUAGACUGAGUAAUGACGGCUUCAUUGAGCCACCAAAGUUAGGGUAAAAUAUGAGAUAAUGAGUUUAUAUACUACAAAAUAUAGGAAGAAGCAAAAGACCAAACUACCCUUACACUAAUAAGUUUAUUACAUUAACACGGAUGAAACCACAAUUCCUACAAAUUCUUUUAGGCAUCCUAAAAUGUAAAUUUCGACAUUUAUUAGAAAAUCUCCCACCAAUCCUCCAGCAUUUUAAGAAAAUGUUAUUUUGAAAAAAUCUCUCAUACAUACAUACAAAAAUUGCAAAUUGAUAAAGAUGUCUUUGGACUUGAACCCAACUUUAAAAAGGAUGUUGUUUUAAAAAAUCUCUCAUUAUACUUGCCAAGUUUACAAAUAGAUGAAGGCGUAUUUUGGACAUGAUACAUACUUAGCAAAAAUGUGUCACGUGUUAACUAAGGUGACAUGGUAGCUAGGCUUCAAACUAACAGUCCCCUACCAUUAAACAUGGAGUUCUCCAUGCACUAACGUGAACAUAUUUUUGGUGGCAUAAAGUUGACACAUGAAUAUUCAUGCAAUGGUAAUAAAGGUUUUGGUGGUUGAAGAGACUAUUUCAGUUAUGGUUUAGGGCUAACAGGCCAUGUGUCCUAUAUUUUGGUUUAAUUCGUGAAUAUCUUAAUUAGCUUGCUAAAUAACUUUGAGAAUGCCAGCAUAUCUAGAUAUUCUAUAGGCAUGUCUCUCUAUAAGUCUAUUAAGUGCUAGAUAGCUCAACCUCUCUUCCCAUGAUACGCUAACAAAAAACCUUUUGCAUUAGGAUUUCGAUUAAGUCAUAAAAAGUUCUUUACUCAUUGAACCUAAGACCUUGAUGUUUCAAGUCUUUGGUUGAAUUUCCGUAAUUGGUGAUUAUUAAUUGGCAACAAUCCAAAUCCCUUGUAAGGCCUUUCUUCAAAGAAUCCACCAAGUUUUUUCUUGACUUGACUUGAUCUAUGGUACUUGUACCAUCCAAAAUAAGUUAUCUUAUCAAAUAUCGACAUCAUAUAACGAUGAAAUGUUGUAUGACCUUUCCAUAAUCCAAACAAUAUCCUCAUGCAAGCAAAUGUGCCAUAUAGCAAGUGAAUAUAGUCUUCUCCUGACCUUCUGUACUAUGGGAAUUUGGUACCCCGAAUAACCAUCAAUAAAAUAGUAGUGAGAGUGAUCGAUAAGCCUUUCAAACAUCUAAUCAAUAAUAAGAAGAGAAGAAUGAUCAUUCCUAGUUGCCUUUAGUAGUCUCGUAGAGAAAAUGGCAAUCUUUAUUUUAUUCCACGGGUAUCUUAGCUGAGUAAUGAGGAUCUUAUUCUCUUAGCAAAUCUAGAAAUCAAUCUAACAAAGUAAUGGAAAAGGAUUUAUAAAGACGACCUUUUGUGGUGGGAUGUGGGCUGCAAAAUAUGGAUGAAAGAAAAGGAGGCCUUCUUUCAGUCAGUCCAAUUGACUUUGUCCUUCUUUGACAAUUUCUUCAAAAAUACUUCGGUUUAAUAUUUAAUUCAAAAUUUUCUGAUUCUCAUAUGUAAGAAUUUCCUGUUAAAUUCCUGGCCUGAUGAAAAUUCUUUUGGAUUCCAGCUUAAAAAACUCAUGUCAACCUCACAUUCAUCAUCCGAUUAAGAAUAAGAAAUGUACAUAGCCCAUGUAUAUAGCUACUAACAUAGGUUUUACAAUCCUAAGUUUAGUAUGCUUGUCAUCAUAUAUUUGAGUUACUUAAAAUAUAAAGCAUAUUUUUCGUCAGAAACCUAUGUCCUUGGUCCUCCCAUUGGUAUAAAAAUGUAAAACCCAUACAUAAAAAGACAAAUUUUGUAAGAAACGAAGAGGCUGUGUACCAUUUUUGGAAAUCUGAAUUUUGUGCUUUGUGUAUGUUCUCUUUCCCGUAUUUUCUGUUGGAAGAAUUUUGUGAAUAGUGACGCCGAAAUAAGUAUAAUGAUGGUGACAAAGCCGAGGCAAGAGUUGGACUCUUUGUUCUUAAGUCGAAUUUGCCCCGCAACGGUGCCUACGGAUUUCGGCAAUCGACUCCCAAGAUACAACGGCUACACCUGUGUUUGUAGCACUCCAAAACACAAGUACAACGAACCAAAUGUAGGCUUAUGUACUCCAAGGAUGAAAUGAAAGAAAAUCAAAAUAAAUGAAAUGAUUUUGAUUUUGGAUAGAAGAGAGGAUGAGAGACGUUUUUGCAUAUCAAACUGUGAGGAAUAGGACACCCAAAGGGUCCUAUUUAUAGACCAUGAAGGGGUGUGGACGAAAUGGUUGAGGCCAAACCAUGCACCCUUUCCACACAAUGCACCUUUAUGAAAAGGUGUCUAUUCACUAAUGGUUGAGGCCUUUUUCGUAAUUUCUCAUUCAUCCGAUAUUGAUUUUCGAAAUGCCAAAAACGGAUUGAGUCGAGCUUUUGAGUAUUUGGCCGAAUUUGAUACGAACUUUAAUCGAUUUUCAAUUCUCAAUUUAUUUAACCAAUAUCCAACAUUUUCCUCUCUUGAUUUACUAUAAAUUCCAAGCUUCACUGAUAAAGAAAACACUAUAAUCUUACCCCCUGGUACUGUUAACCAUCAUUGUUACUUGUUUUGUACUUCUUUCUUUUAUAUUUGCACCUUGUGCUUCUGAUCAAUUACCAGUGAAGAAUCGAAAAAGGUAAAGAAUUUAUCCUUUUUUUUGUUACGAUUUGUCUUCAACGGAAACUCUGCGCAAGCAAUGGUGGACGAAACUUCAGUCUUUUUAGUUUGAUGCAUAAUAUUGUGAGUUUUUUAAAAUGUGCAGCUCAUGAUGCAGCCCAACUUAAUCUUCUUCCAUUGCGGCAGCAGAAGCUCAAACUCAAUGAAGAGGAAUUGUACGAUUUUCUUCAUACCAUAUGAAAGAUUAAUUCAUUCUUCAUCAUGAAUGCAUGUGUUUCGCGCGAGUUAGUCGCUAACAAUUAAAAAGGAUCAGACGAUUGUGUAAGGGACAAACCUCUUGAGACAAAGUCCCAAAAAGGGGUGUUCUUUUAUUGGCGAUGACUUUACAAUUGGAAAUUAAAAACAACGUGCCUCCAAGGGACGCAAGCAUACGAGUUAUUGAAAGAAAAGUGUUUAAGUCUAAGCUAAAGAAAUGAAAAUUACAUGUUCUCUGUUCGAGAGUUUUUGAUUCGGUCCUUUGCUUCAAUGUCCUUUCUCCCUUUUAUACUUCAUGGACGAUCUCUUUGUGAUCAACCGCUCUAAUGAUCGUCCUAUAACUACCUACUUUCAUCGUAAUGGCCAACUUGUCAUGAAAACUUCCUUUUUUAACUGCUGCCAUUACUCUUCAUCGUUCAACCGCUUUCGAUUGAAUUCCUUGAAUCGUGGAACGUGAUAGGGUUGCUUUAAUAACUGCUUUGAUAACUGCACUUCUUGAUAACCACGACACUUUAUGUUUGUUAAGACCUUGGGCGACUUGAAGGUUUGGACGAGAAUAGAGUAACAGCUCUGGACGACUGUAUGACACUUCAUUCGCUCAGAUUCUGGGCGACUUGCAAAUUUGGGCGAUGGCAUUACCGCGUUCUUGGGCCUCCUUAUUCGGGCCUUCAUCUUGAUUUGUUUAAUUGUGCUUCGUUCUUUGGGUUAUCUGAUUUGGGGAUCCUCCAAUUGGGCUUCACUUUUUGGGCCGCUUGAUUUGGGCUGAAUUUUUAUGUGUCAACAGCAUGAACAUUUAUUUAUGAUAAAUCAUAGCUCCAUAUAAAUCCUAAAAUUAUAAUCUAGGAAUAGAAAAUUAUGGGAUGUUUUAAUAUCUUCGGUUUACACAGGUGAAAAGUGUAGAAGAGAGAUAUUUUGGACCAUACAAGAGGAAUAUGGAAGGUUCAUCAGGUAAGUUGAUUUUCAAGAACUUGCUGUAUGCCUCUUGUUACCAUUAGUGCAAAAUUAAGUUUUAACUAAAUUUUCACUACGAUCGAUUAGUUUUCCUUCCAUUAUGACUGAUGCACUUAACUAUUUUAUUCGUCAAACAACUUAAACUUUAAACGAAACAUUCAUAAAACUGGUUCACGUAAGGAAGAGCUGAUGCACUUUCAAAUGACAAAUUUGUCAUGUAGCCGUUGUUCAUAUCUAUUCCACGGCCAUAGCAUUCUAUUGAAACCCAUCCAGUCAGUUAAGACUAACGGCCUGCUUGGACUGCAUCUUGUUUUCAAGUUUUUAACACUUGUCCUUGAUAUUUAAAAAUUAAUUUUCCACCAAUUUCUUUUAUUUUCUUCGUCCAACGUGCUUUAUCUCACAAAACAUAAUACGAUCAAGUAGAUGCCGCAAGAAUGUGAGAAUAAACUGCAACAAAACCAAUAUUGCAUGUUCUCAUUAUAUUAUAAAUUUUCUUCUUUCAGGUAACAAACUACAUCGAAAAGAGAAAAUUUUGAAGCAUCCAGGAACAGUGGAAUGGAAAAAAUGGACUGAUCAAGGAGCCAAGAAAUCAGAAUGCCUCACGGUGGAUUAUGGUUGGGUUAGAUGACGUUAUCCAAUACACAACAAGAAUGUCCUAGUUGGUCCAUGAAAUAUGGGAUUAUCAUGUGUAUAAUCCUAGAUGUUUUGACACACAAUUUUUAAAAUUCAAAAAAGAAAAGAAAAAUCUAAGGGUCCGUUUGAUAGCAUUAAAUUCCAUGGAAAAUAUUAUAUCCAAGAAAUUCGUUUUCUACUUUGGCUGUUUAAUACGAAAGUGAAAAUGAAGUUCGGAUUCCAAGGUACAAACACUUAAAAGAAUGUUUUUGGUCAAUUAAGUGGAAAUCGAAUUCUCAUAAUUUUGAUGGUUUUUUCUUUUCUAAUUUACAUAGAAUUGAUUUGUCUUUUACCAUUUUUGCAAUCAAACGGACCCUAAGUGUUAUUGUAAUUAUAUGGAAAUGAGGAAAUAUAUCUCCUUGUAGCUUUAUUAUGGCCAUUAUUAUCAUGCAAACAAAAGCUAAAUGUAGUUGCAAC